This is a small nuclear RNA of Ailuropoda melanoleuca (giant panda), 107 nucleotides long. Lineage: Eukaryota; Metazoa; Chordata; Mammalia; Carnivora; Ursidae. The record is from Ensembl.
GUGCUCACUUCAGCAGCACAUAUACUAAAAUUGGAAGGAUACAGAGAAGAUUAGCAUGGCCCCUGCACGAGGAUGACAUGCAAAUUCGUGAAGCAUUCCACAUUUUU